CACCUCUUCCCAUCUCGAACAGAGAAGUUAAGCCCGCCUGCGCAGAUGGUACUGCAUUUAUGUGGGAGAGUAUGUCGUCGCCUUUC
This 86-nucleotide ribosomal RNA is filed under the name Flavobacterium psychrophilum. Lineage: Bacteria; Pseudomonadati; Bacteroidota; Flavobacteriia; Flavobacteriales; Flavobacteriaceae. The record is from RNAcentral.